CCAAUUAAAUCAUAAACAUUAAUUCUUAUCACAGUAUCAGUGCUCCAUCUAUAGGCCUAACAAAGGGGUGUUGAUAGACUUUUGAUUGGCUGAGCCACCAUCUAUUUGAAAACAAGCGACUUUGAUUGGCUGGAGACAGGAAGUUAUGUUUUGAAAACAAAGGGGGUUUUCAUCAACUGACUUUGAGCUUUAAGGUAUAAUUGAGUAACAUUAAGACUUAUAAUUCUAGUUUAAAUUGUCUUGAAUAACUUUCAGCAUGAAGUAUUGUGUGGUGAAAACAAUGUGUAUGUACUACAAUGUGUAAAUCAACAAUAAGUUUGUUGCAAAGGAGAUUCAAAGUGGAUGGUUAAAGUGAUAUGGUCUCAUAAUUCAUCAACUGCCUGUUAUCUUGGAAUACUGAAGAACAGUUGUUUUAGGUUAAACUCCCAAGGUGAAAUUUACAUUGAUUGGAAGAUUCUUUGGAUAGAAUAUUUCUGCCAAAAGACAGCAGAAGGGGGACUAACUGAUGUAUGGAUUUUGACACCAGAUUUUACCCUGCACGAGCAGCCCAACUUGAGUAGAUCAGGAGUGGGAAAACCGAGCCCUGUCCUUGACCAAGGAAAGUUGGAUUUGUUGAGAGGACCUGAUCUCAAAUGAGAUCAUGCACAAGACGCACCUCGCAAAGGCCAUGACAGUAUAGUUUUCAGACCUGAUCAGCUGGUGACUGCUCUAUGAAGUGCUGUUCAACCUCCCCUAAGGGGGAGAUUCGAGAGGGUCUCCUGAUUG
Long non-coding RNA from Dreissena polymorpha, 765 nucleotides. RefSeq lists it as uncharacterized. NCBI's taxonomy places the organism in Eukaryota, Metazoa, Mollusca, Bivalvia, Myida, Dreissenidae. The transcript has 3 exons. The record is from RefSeq and is a predicted model, not a curated record.